Leopardus geoffroyi (Geoffroy's cat) is the source of this 3837-nucleotide long non-coding RNA. RefSeq lists it as uncharacterized. The transcript is spliced from 5 exons. Lineage: Eukaryota; Metazoa; Chordata; Mammalia; Carnivora; Felidae. The record is from RefSeq and is a predicted model, not a curated record.
CUCUGGCAGCCACCUGCCAGACUAGCCAAGCCUGCCUAACUUCUGCUCACCUCAGCUUAAACGUCACUUCCUCAGAGAUACCUUCCCUUCACCUGCUGCAGCUCUCACUUACCUCCUGGGCUCCCCACGAGCUGCAGAGAAGUUCUGCACGAGAACAUUUCUAGCAUCCUGGGAAAUCGCUGAGUUGUUUGCGUUAUCCUGUCUUCACUCACCUCAGAUCACAAGUAGAGAGCAAGGAAGCCGGAGACCCUCAAGGUUUAGGAUUCCAAGGUUCAGUGUGCGCCUGACUGCUCAGCUGGGAGUUUCCUUUGCUUUUAUGGAUUUCAAGUGAGGGAAAUGAGGUCACUUGUCAAGAAAUGUACAUUUUCUCAGAAAACAUUGUUGCAAUGGAAGCAGCAAGGCAUAAAACAGAACCCAGGAACUGUUGAAAAGCUAUCACCCACCCUGUCUGAGCCUCAGUUCACUCACUUGUAUCCAGAAGCCUCAACAGAUAAUUGAAUAAUUAAGUGAAAUCAUCUGUUCGCUGGAGGACACAGCCCUGCCAUCUCUACAGUCCUUCACCAGGCUUUCCCCAGCCCCCAGCUCCAGCCUCAGGAAGUGGAGCUGCUGAGAAUCUCUCCUCCAGCCUCGCCUCCUGCCGAGAGUGUCCUCUGCGUGAGCAUUUCCUGGCCUAAUUAAGCUGGGUAAUGAGUAGCUAAGAGGGAGGGGAUAAAAGCCCUAGGCGGCUUAGAGCUGGGACAGUUUAUGACAGGGGCGUCUGCAGCUGGUGACACUCUUAGGAAAGUUAUUUCUCAUAACCUGGGAAGUUGCAUGCUGUUUCCAUAGCACAGUGAGCCCCAAGGUAAGCACAGGGUAUAUUGCACUUAAGAGGGACCAGCUGGAGGGUCCUGAGAGGGUCCUGAGUGGUGUGGUACUGGGGGGGGGUCUGAGAAAAGGACUGAUCCCAGCUGUGGAGCAGUCCUGAGCCGCCCAGGCUAAUGCCCUUGGCUUAGCCCCAGGCCGGGGUGUCCUUGGUGACCACGUGUGACUCCCCAGGGCUGGGGUUUUAUGUUUCAUUUGAAUGAUAGGACUGUGCACUGUGGGCAGUUUCCUAAGACCGUGUCCGCCCCGAGUAAGGAAAUCUGAGCCAGACGCUGAUCCUGACUCCCCUCAGUCCUCUUUUAAGGUGCCCAAUAUUGUGUCCUGGAAAAUACCAAGCGCCCAGCAGCCAAGCAGGAGCCCUGGGGGACUGGGGAAGGCUGACAGCAGCCUGGCCUUUCAGAGACCUUCAAAGGCCAAAAGUUGACUGUUUCCACUUCCAACCUCUGCCUCAAGAACCCAACUCCACAACCACAGCCUGUGUACCUUGGCACCGUGUCUAUUUCAUUUGUUUAAAUCACUUUGCACUGAGGCAUUAGUUGGCCACCCCCCACCCCGCACCCCCUGCUCUGGUGUGUGAGGGGGAGGCAGUGUGUUGGGGCCUGGGUCUUGGAGUAGGUUUCAUCACUAGAACAAGGGUUUCCCCCUGUACAAUCAGGGCUUUGGCGAUGCCUAGCCUGCAAUGUGCUAUGAGCGCACAACCUCCACUGUCCAUGAGUGGGGGGAAUUGCCAAAACGUGGCCACAUUUCCCAGGCCUUUCAAAUUAGGGGACAGUAUGUGCACUUUUACACCCAGGAGCAACUUGCUCUGAUUAUCAGUGUAGAGAAGAGCUGUACCCAGUGAAUGUUACUGAUGAUGGAAGAGCUCAGCCUUCCUCCUGCACUCCAAAAUCGCUAUUUUGAACUUUUCUAAUUUUCUUUCUUUUUUUUUAAGUAGGCUCCAUGCCCAAUGUGGGCCUUGAACUCAAGAUCAAGAGUCAUAUGCUCUACCAACUAAGCCAGCCAGGUGCCCCUUGAUCCUUUCUAAUUUUCUGAAGAAGACUGUUUCAGGCCAUGUCCUCAUAACCCCACUUCCUCUUGGUGGCCAGAGCUCAGGGCCCACAGCUACAGGAAAUUUGCAGAGUCCCUCCUUUUUUUUGUUUCUCUUCACUCUCUCCCCUUUGCUGUUCUCAUAAUCUUAUCUACCCUCUUGGCCUGCUUCUCUUUCUUUUUAACCCAUUUUUUAUUGAGAUAUAAUUAACAUAUAAUUUGUAUGAGUUUAAGAUAUAAAAAAACGGUUUGCUCCAUGUAUAUAUUGUGAAAUGCUUCUCUUUCCAAAGGAGAAUGGUCAGAUCACAAAUAACCUGGUGUCUCCCAUCUUUCCCUCCUGCUGUAGUUGUCCUUGGAAUGGAAGGAGACUUGGUGGCCAGACGCCUGACUGGGGAGGGCAGGUCUGAGCUGCACCCCCCUCCUCUGCAAGGACGCCUGGGACUCUCAGAAUUCUGAAAGGGGGGUUCUGGAGUUCAGAAGAGCGGAGAGCAGGCCUGGUGGCUUUCACUGUGACCUGACCACCCUGCACUGGGUGGCCAAGCCCAGAAGUCUCUGGCAUCCUCCAGCCCUGCAGCAGCUGGGCAGGCCCUGAGAGCCAACUUACUCGGAAUGUGUAAUCCUGGUUAAAAAGAGAAAGGGGGAAAGAUCUUGUAAUUUCCCAGGACACAGACAAUUGAAACCUUAUACUCUUGUCAAGGGAGUCCUUUCACUAAGAGAGGCAGGGAGAGACAGGGAGAGGGAGGAAGAAGGCAAAGGAGGAAGGAAGGAAGGUGUGAGAGAGGCCAUUCGGGACCCAGCACUGGGCCCAGCUAGGCCAUGAGUGCUCCGUGUGUCACCUACCCCAGUCAUUGGCCUGAUGCUGACUCUUGAGGAGAGCUGAGAGAAGAGGUCUACUGUGUGUGAGAGCAGCAGUGCCCGUGGCUUUUACACACCUGCCAUCCCCCUCUGUCCUCUCUCCUUUGGAGCCUCUGUCCCUUCUCCAGAGGACCAGCAGCUCCUCCUUGCCUUCCCUGCCUUUUGUGGGAGGGGGGUCAAAUGCAGUUGAUAAAAAUGCACAAAGGCCUUCAACACACCAAUAAGCAGUUCUUUCCUUCUUUCAUCCAGCAAAUAGUCAUUGAUCAAUUGGAUGAAUGAAAGAAAUACUAUUCCAUGCAGUCAAAUGCAUGGUCAGGGAGGAAAACCAGUCCAACCUGACUUGGAAGGGUCCUGGUUGCUCACCCUUUUUCAACUACAAAGGAUUGCAGGUGUUUAUCGGGCUAAAACCACAGAAAUUUAGGGAGGCUGCUUUGGGACAAGCUCUGUGCUAAGUGUGGUUUGGGAGACACUGACAUAUAUGGCAAAGCAUCUGUCCGUGAGGUAUAGCAUGCCAUCUGGCUGGAACAGCAAGGCCGUGAGCCCAAACAACUGGGGAACAAUAUACAAGGAAGUCCAAUAUAGAGCCCAAAGGUGUGAUAGGGCCAGGGAAUGGCCCCACAGGUCAGUUCUUUUGUAUCUUACAGAGAAGGCUUUUUUAAGGUGAAAAUUCCUAAUGUCACUCUCUGAGUCAGCAGUGGUUUGUUGAGCUCCCAUGGUGUGCCCAGUACUGGCCCAGGCACUGGUGAUACAGCUGCGAACACAACAAACUCGCCACCCUGGAGGAGCUCACCCUACAAGACUUGACUUCAUUCUCAUCCAUGCACUUUUGUAUUUCACAGUUCAUUCAUUCAUUUACUCAUGUGCCAUCCUUACUCAAAAAGGAAUUAAGGUAGUUUAUAAUUAAUGGAUAAAACCAAAAACCAAAAACCAGAUUAACAGUUGAGGUCCAGGCUGUAAAGGAAGCUAGGGCAAGAGAAUAGUUAUACCAGACAACCUAGAUUCAGGGAAGUGUGUAACACUGAGCCUAAAAAUCAGCUCUGAGCUGCCUGGUGGUUGUGUCAAAAAGGGAAAUAGCGUGUCUGAUAAAAGAAGUAU